GAACGAUAUCUGGCAACAAAUUAGAAAGGAAAGCAUAUAAUUUUAUAAGCUCUGUCUGCAGCUGUGAACAUGACUAACACUAUUUGAAUGAUUUAAAGGGCCAGCCAAGAGAAACACUGCUGUAGAUUGAGGAGAAAAAUGCAAAGCAUAGUCCUAACCUUUCAUUUUAUUUGUAUCAUUCAAAAAUCUUAAUAAAAAUUACUUAAAAAGAAUAUGUUUUGAAAUGAACUGAAGGACGCAACCACACAUCACAACCCAACAUUUCACAAAUGCAAAUAAAGAGGCCUGUGGCCAAGUUAUAUCAAAAUGAGGUCAAGGUGGCAAAUGUCAUUAAUGAGGAAAAUCAGACAAUUUAGGGGAAGCUACAGAAGUUUGCUUUGCCCUGAGUCUACUGAGAAGGACAAAUCUGCUGUGAUUGAAAUAAGGUGAGGACUAAGAGUCAGAAGCAACUGAACCAAUAAACAACAACAAAAGGAGGAGCAGAUAGAAACCAGGGGAUUUUAUGAGCAACUGAAAAAGUGGGAUAUUAGAAGAUUAAAAGGGACUAUUCCUUCCAAACUGGGAAUGUUGGAGGGCAUCUCAAUAGAAAGAGACAUAUAUAAUUUGGGAAAGGAUGACUAAGUGAGAAACAGCAUUGUGUAUGAUAGCCAGCAUGGUGUAGUUGUUUUGAUGUGAGUCCUGGAGACCAAAGUCUGAAAUCCCACUUGUCAUGGAAAACUAUCCAGUGACCUUAGCAGUGUCACACUGUCUCAGAACCAGAAAAAGGCAAUGGCACCCCCCCACACACACACACCCAGAACAGAUGUUGCCUGCUCUCAGAAUCAUAAUAGGUUCUCCAUAGAGUUGGCAUAAGUAAAAAAGUGUUCAGGUACAAAACAAGUUAGUACAGCAAUUCAGGAAUCCUAAUUUUAAGUAGAUACAAUGGUGAUUUGGAUCCACUAAUUUCCUAUGUAGAAGUGGACCUCCAAGUCCCCAACAAGCCACUCCUCCUUCCAAAAGUAGGCAAAACCAUUUAUUUAUUUAUUUAUUUAUUUAUUUACAGUAUUUAUAUUCCGCCCUUCUCAACCCGAAGGGAACUCAGGGCGGAUCACAAUGUAUAUACAUGGCAAACAUUCAAUGCCAUUAGACAUAUAGACAGAGACGAAGACACAGAGGCAAUUUAACAUUUUCUAGCUUCCAGGCUUCCUGAGGCUAUGCUCGAUUCCGGCCACAGGGGUAGCUGCUGCUUCAUCAUCCACUGUGACACCGAGUCCUUGCUGGAUUGCUUUCUUGUUCCUUUCUGCACGCUGCUGGAUGAUUUUUAUGGUCUUGUAAAUUAGUUAAAUUAACCACAUCCUGUGCUAAAGUUAUGUUGCAUGUAGUUCAUGCAUUAAUACCACUGUGCAGCCCUUGUGUAGAAUUGCAGCAUGGCUUAACUGAAUCAAGAUACCAAGACUGCUAUGGAUUUUGAAGAGGCACGAAUAGAGGGAGAAAGGGGAAAAUGUGCCAAGAGAAGGCGUGUCAAGCAAACCCUUGUCGGGACCAUCUUCCAUCUGGAAAACUAUGGCCUCAUUGUAAUAGACCAUGCAGAUCCAGAAUAGGUCUCUACAGUCACAUACCGACCCACCGCCAAGACUCUACACUUGGAAGACAAUCAUACUCGGCCACAAGUGAUAGCUUAUGAUAUGAUAUGACCAAAUGUAUAACUAAAUGCUUUCAACUUGGAAUUGUAUGCAGUAGAUCUACAGCAGGCAAAAGUGACCAACUGCUUCCAUAAGAAAACUUAGACAUGUGGAAGAUGGCAAUGGCAUCCCAGCCUUUGAGCCGCAUUAAAUGUUUAGCACAUGGCUCUGAAUAUGCAAAAUUAGAAGGGUAAACUUAAACCACAAUUCCAAAGGCUUAAAAAAAGACUUUAACUGAGAUUUAAAAACAGUAAAGGCAUAGUCUAUAUAGAUAUACAUGUGUGUGUAAAUGAUUUCGAGGCUAUGUUUUCAUGGGAAAAAAUAAUGCAGAAUAUUUUUUCCCUGCAGUUGCCCCAAAUCCAGCAUGUGCCUAGUAAAUCCAGAGCCAUGUGCCCAGAUCAUCAAGCCCAUCCUUUUGCUGCCCUGUCCCUUUGUUUGCAUGCCACUGCCAUUGCUCCUUGACAUCCAUGGAGCUUCCUGUGAGUGUCUGGCAAUGGCCUUUGUGUCUGCUGAAAUCAUAAUGAGGAUUAUGAUCAAGCCUCUCCUUCUUGCUGGUCACACUGCCAACCCAUUCUGAAAUCAGGAGAAGGGUGAAGGGGGUGGUGACCCUAUGGACAGUGGAUCAGGCCAAAAGGGACCCAAUCCCACUGUCCAGACAGCUACCAAGCCAGUAGAUAUGCUACAAAUACCAAAGUAUCUCCCAACUUUGCUUAAGUAGAGCAAAGUCUGGGUAAAGGCAAAACACUCGGGAUCCUAAACAGAAGUCACUAUGUAUUACGGAGACCAGUGUUUCCCAAAUGGUGGUCUUUCAGAUGUUAUCAACUUCAUCUCCCAGAAUCCCAGAUCAUUGGACAAGGCAGCUGAGCCUCCUUGGAGUUGAAGUACAAAAUACAUGGAAGACUAGAGUUUGGGAAUCAUUGGUGUAGAGUGCCACAGCCGGAUUCAAGGUGGAGUUCAGAUUUUUUAUUUGUGUAAACCAGGGGUCCCCAAACUAAGGCCCGGGGGCCACAUGCGGCCCAUCCAAGCCAUUUAUCCGGCCCCCGCUGCGGCAGCUCCCUCCUCCUCCUUCACCUGGUGCAUGCCUUCCAAAGCUUUGCUUAUUUAUAAUGGCAUUUUUAUUAUUAUUUAAUUAAUUAUUAAUUAUUAAGGGGUGCUUUGCUAGUGUUUUUGGUGCACAAAGGCAGAAGGGGGUUGGACUAAAUAGCACAAGGGGGCUCUUCCAACUCUCUUUGUUGUUGUUGUUGUUGUUGUUAUUGGCACAAAGUAUAACACAGGAAAUGAGAUCUAUAUGCUGGAUUUCGAAUCACAAAAUCACAAGUCAAAUGCUUCCAGGUGUUUAUUAUUAUUAUUAUCAACAACAUUGAGGAUGGGUGGCCAUCUGUCAGGGGUGCUUUUUUGUGCUUUUGGUGCACAAAGGCAGAAGAGGUUGAACUAAAUGGCCCAAGGGGUCUCUUCCAACUCCCUUUAUUAUUUUGAUGAUGAUGAUGAUGAUGAUGAUGAUGAUGAUUAACAUUGAGGCUGUAUUUGUUCCCAUUUUGUUUUUGUUUUUCAAAAUAAGAUAUGUGCAGUGUGCAUAUGUAUUUGUUCAUAGUUUUUUUUAAAAAAACUAUAGUCCAGCCCCCCCCCCCCCCCCAACGGUUUGAGAGACCGUGAACUGGACCCCUGUUUAAAAAGUUUGGGGACCCCUGGUGUAGACAAGCCACAAAUGAAUGUUGAAGUUGAGCGGAGGAGCAAAAACACCUAGGUUGGGUAGGGAACAUGGAGUUUAAUGAACACAGUUCCUGAAUAAAACAACAAUGAGAAAUGAGGACUUACAAACAGGGAGAAGCUAAAAGAUGCAGGCUUUAACCUCUACUGAAGUAAGAUUAAAAGUAGCAUGAUGUGAUCAAAAGGAUAUGCUGAAAAGAUAAUCUAAGUGGCAGAAAUCUGGAAAGAAAUGACGAGGGAAAGACCAGUUAAUGGAAGACCGGUUAACAAAGAAUUACAGUAAUCAUGAUGAUAAAUGAGUAAAGCAAGAACAGCAAAGGUCUUUGCAAAAGAAAAAGCCUGAAAUGGUCUGGAGAUACAAAGAAAAAGUGACAUGACUUUACUUAGUUUCAAUAUAAAGAACAAAAACAGAGUCAAUAAUAAAACUAGGAAUGCUUGUGUGCUUCCUCACCAAAAUGAAAAAGAACAUUAUUAGCAGUGAUAAAGAAUAUAGAUUGGGGAAAGGAUUUAGUGGGAAAACAAGCAAUUCCAUCUGUGUUAUAUUAAGUUUCAGAGAUGAAGAACAACCAGAGUCCUUCCAAAUGGCUUUUUGCUGCAUUCAUUGACCUCUCCUCAGCCUUUGAUGUAAUUAAUAGGAAUCACUUUUAGGGCAAGCUUGCUGGGAUCAGUAUCAAUACUCUUCAUUUACUAUACAAACAUGGAUUAGCACAGAGGAUUGGUGGAGGAAAUGUGUAUAACAAAAAGAGUCAGACUAGAGGUGACUUGUUAAAACCUCCUGUUGAAUCUUUAUAUUAAUAGCAAUGUAACUAUGUUAAAUUGCCCAGAUCCUUCAAUAGGAAAAUGUGAAAUGGUCAUCUGAAUAUAUGCUGAUGAUCCUGUUUCAGGUGACAAUGAAACAUCCAUAUUGAAACUGCUGAGACGUACCAUAACAUGAUGCACGGUGUCUGAUGAAACUUGUGGAGUGUAGCAAUAAAGCUGUGUGUCACCAACGUAAAAGUCAUAACACUAAAUAAGAUUACCUAGCAACAAUGGAUAUAAAAUGAAAGCAACAAAGGACCCAGAGAAGAACCAUAUGCAGACUCUACCAAAAGAGAAAAAUUGCAUGAGACAGAACCAUAAGCCAGAACAUUAAAAUAAUGGACUGAGAGAUAGAAAGUGAAGCUCUUUAUGACUGGACUGGAGGAGGAGGUGGAAAAGGAGGAGGAAUACAUCAUCCCCACCUCAAUGGAGGAAACCCAUUUCUGCUUAAGAGCCAAACUGUCCAUGACAAUAAAAGUGUUUAACAAUU
This is a long non-coding RNA of Anolis carolinensis (green anole), 4656 nucleotides long. RefSeq lists it as uncharacterized. Lineage: Eukaryota; Metazoa; Chordata; Lepidosauria; Squamata; Anolidae. The transcript has 2 exons. The record is from RefSeq and is a predicted model, not a curated record.